Long non-coding RNA from Vespa mandarinia (Asian giant hornet), 2343 nucleotides. The record is from RefSeq and is a predicted model, not a curated record. NCBI's taxonomy places the organism in Eukaryota, Metazoa, Arthropoda, Insecta, Hymenoptera, Vespidae.
UCUUUAUCAAGUUCCACGAGAACGAGUUUGAACGAGUAAAGUCCCCAAGUCGGCACGUGUUCAUCUGUCAUAAAACUAUUCUUCUUACACGUUUGCAGAAUGACUGGCGAAAUGAUAGCGAGAGCAAAAAUAAUGCAGUUACUUUCGAAAUCGCAACGCGAAAGAGGAGAGUCGAGUAUAUAAUACUCGAAGAAAAUCAAUUAGUAUUUUUGCGAUUGCAGAAAACGAAAAGACAGAGAACGCGCGAGACUGGUGACAUGUAUGCCAUUUCAACGAGAUACGAGAUUCAACACGUGUCACAUAACUAAUCCUCAAACGCUCCAGCUUGAUCUUUUCUAAGAGCAUGCACAUUUCAUGGCAAAUAGCGUUCAAGGUGAAACCGACUAGAUAUGAUAUCAGGCAUUUUAUUUAAUCAAUGCGUACGUAUGUAUGUGCGAAUACUCUUCCAAUUGUUUUAUUUAACGUAUUCAAAUAUUCUUAGUGAGCUAGCCGAUGUAUUUGAUAAUAAAUUGACUUGAAUAUUAUGAUUUGUUUCCUUUUACAUUCCUUUAUAAAAUUUCACAAAAAUAUCGAUCUAACGAAAUUGCGGGAAGACUUUAAUCAUUGACAAAAGGUCGUCGUAGUUUAUUACGUAAGAGUUCCAUGAGUGUCGAGCAAGUUCCGCGCGCGAGAUAUUACUGAUAUCCGUGCGUAUCAGUGAAAACGUGCUCUUAUCGUUAGUGGUAAAGCGAGUCGUCUCAGAUGGACAUUAUUUCUCUCAUCUCUUUGAUCCGUUAUUUCAGUCGAGGUAGCUCAAACCGGUCAAUGAUCCUCCUUGGUAUGAACGGAAUAGUUAAUUGACUAGCGCAGAUAACUGGUAUAUUUGAUGAUUCGUUUAAAUUGUAAAUAAUAGCAUGACUUGAAAAAAAGAAGGAAGUUGCUUUACAUUCGAAUGGUUGGCAGGGUUAUAGCAGUUUGCACUUUUACCGCUUCGUUUCUUGUUAUUUAUUUCAAAAUUCUUUUUUCAGAUAUCUUAGUUUGAUUAGAUUCUUCCGAGAUGCUAUGUCAAUAUGAUUUGCGUAAAAAAAUUGUAAAAUAAUAUACUUUAAGAAAACUGGAGUUUCCUGGAUCAUAUACGUACUUACAUGCGUAAGGUAUAAAUAAAAUUUCCUCGUAUAUAUUAAAGCAUCGACCAGAGAAAAAAUUAGAAAUUGUCACGUCGUAACGUUUGUACUCAUAUUUUUGAUUUUAGAUGUUCCGACUUAAUACAAUUCGAUUUGCACUAAUACUUAUUUGGACAUUUAUGUAACUUUUUUAUGAUUAUUCAUCAAAAAUUUCAUUAGUAUUUUAUUUGUUAUUAUUUCAAAAAAGCAAGAUUCUUUUAUUCAUGGUGAACCUUAUGAUCAUAUAAGAAAUCUUCGAAGUCCGGUUAUUUUCUACGCUUCUAUACCAUUCUAUACCGUUAUAGAAAUAGCUCACGCAUUCAUGACGUUAAUGUAAACUAAUGGUCACCACCUCGACGUAUAUAGCUGUAACGCUUUAUCGGUAAAAUAAUCCGACUUGCUCAUACAACAUCCUAAAUAUGCUACGUAUGUUAGCGAAUUACCUCAAAUAUCAUGAUCAUUUAGAAAUUGUUUACUAAGAUAACUAAAAUGGGAAAUAUACAAGUAAUAAUUAAAUUGUUUAUAAAUAAUAAAACAAUAGCAAGUAUUUAGUCAAAAGUAUAAUAUAAAUAUAUAGUAAAUAAUUGAAGACUAAAUUAAAUUUUACAGUUCUACUACAUUUUGACUAACUUGGACAAUAAUAUAUACGUUGUAAGAUUCUUAAAUCUUAAAACAAUCAAUAAUAGUUAAAAAAAGAUCAUUUAUAGCCUUGUUCAUCACAUAUAUGUCCAUAUUUUGUAUUUAAUAAUAAUUUCAAAAUCGUUAGUUCCAACAGGAAUGAAUUUUCUUAUGAACUCGUAUGACGACGGAUUCUGUGUACUGGUCCAGUUGAUGGUUCAAGGGAGAGUGUUACGACUUAGCUCGGAACUCGCUCAAGCCUUGGGCUACCACGAAUGUUUAUAUUUCAAAUUUCGCAGCAAUAAGCAUUCGUUGGAACCUAACAGCAAGCAUUUCAAAGUACUUUGGGUAAAAUAAAAUAUUAAUUGCUUUAAUAUUUACAGGGACAGUUAAAAUGAUAAACAGAUAAAAUGAUAUAAGGAAUAUGUAUGAAAUUUCCAGUGUAAUUUAGCGAAUUGGAAAUAUUAGAAAACAAACAGUUUGACGAAUACAUCGUACAAAAACCAUAUAUUUCCAUUUAUAUUUGUAAAAAGCUAAAAUAAACGCAAAUUCCCCUUAUCAUUGUUAUAUAAUCGUCAGAUUA